RNAcentral lists this transfer RNA (96 nucleotides) under Streptomyces anthocyanicus. RNAcentral describes it as "tRNA-Ser". The record is from RNAcentral. Lineage: Bacteria; Bacillati; Actinomycetota; Actinomycetes; Kitasatosporales; Streptomycetaceae.
CGGGCGUGCCCCGGGCCGCAGGAGGGACGGCCCGCUCGGCCGAUGGCUUCGCCGGGGCGGCCGGGGCCGUCGGUUCUGCGACCGGCACGUCCGGCC